AUGAAGAUGGGUCCUCAGAUUAAGAAGCUCUCCAUCAAGCAACAGAAUGAGCGUCUGGAGAUUGAGAACAAAAUACUGGCGAUUGAGAACCACAAAAUACGCGAGGAGUUGAGGACGUACCGAUGUGUUGCUUGCUUGAAGAUUGAAAAUGCCUACCUGAAAGUUGAGCUUGCACACUCGUUUCGUAAUGCUGCUGCAAUUCUAGAAGCUGAAGCACAAUCUGAAUUGGAGGUUGGGUUUUCCUCUACAGCACCCCAGAUUCCAGCGGAUACUAGCGCAACUGGACCACUCCAGUCGGGUGCAGCUGGGAGCCAAGAUGAACCAUGCGAGUAA
RNAcentral lists this ribosomal RNA (333 nucleotides) under Triticum aestivum (bread wheat). Its description in RNAcentral is "partial small subunit ribosomal RNA". Lineage: Eukaryota; Viridiplantae; Streptophyta; Magnoliopsida; Poales; Poaceae. The record is from RNAcentral.